RNAcentral lists this ribosomal RNA (253 nucleotides) under uncultured bacterium. RNAcentral describes it as "partial 16S ribosomal RNA". It matches the Rfam family "Bacterial small subunit ribosomal RNA", at positions 524 to 776 of the family's 1533-position model. The record is from RNAcentral.
UACGAAGGGGGCUAGCGUUGUUCGGAAUUACUAGGCGUAAAGGGCGCGUAGGCGGUUGCUCAAGUCAGGCGUGAAAGCCCCGGGCUCAACCUGGGAAUUGCGCUUGAGACUGGGCGGCUUGAGUUCGGGAGAGGUGAGUGGAAUUCCCAGUGUAGAGGUGAAAUUCGUAGAUAUUGGGAAGAACACCGGUGGCGAAGGCGGCUCACUGGACCGACACUGACGCUGAGGCGCGAAAGCGUGGGGAGCAAACAGG